CAACUACUCCCUCCGUCUUAAAAUUCUUGUCUUGAAUUUGUCAGAUAUGGAUGUAUCUAGUUUAGUUUUAGUAUUUAGAUACAUCAAUUUUAGACAAACUUAAGACAAAAAAUUUGAACCGAAGGGAGUAUUAU
Molecule: microRNA precursor, 134 nt
Filed under: Hordeum vulgare
Lineage: Eukaryota; Viridiplantae; Streptophyta; Magnoliopsida; Poales; Poaceae
Description: microRNA MIR1122
Rfam family: MIR1120/MIR1122 microRNA precursor family
Source: RNAcentral